This is a non-coding RNA of Acanthosepion pharaonis, 114 nucleotides long. The record is from the annotation of a GenBank genome assembly. Lineage: Eukaryota; Metazoa; Mollusca; Cephalopoda; Sepiida; Sepiidae.
UUACGGUCACAUCCCGUUUGGAGCAGCGGUUCCCGUACGAUCACCGAAGUUAAGCAGUAUCGGGCCUGGUCAAUAACUAGAUGGGUAACCACUUGGGAAUACCAGGUACAGUAA